GGAGAGAUGGCUGAGUGGCUGAAGGCGCUCCCCUGCUAAGGGAGUAAGGGUUAAUAGCCCUUCGAGGGUUCGAAUCCCUCUCUCUCCGCCA
RNAcentral lists this transfer RNA (91 nucleotides) under Gammaproteobacteria bacterium. RNAcentral's name for it is "tRNA-Ser". It matches the Rfam family "tRNA". From Rfam's summary of the family: Transfer RNA (tRNA) molecules are approximately 80 nucleotides in length. Their secondary structure includes four short double-helical elements and three loops (D, anti-codon, and T loops). The record is from RNAcentral. Lineage: Bacteria; Pseudomonadati; Pseudomonadota; Gammaproteobacteria.